CCUACGGGAGGCAGCAGUAAGGAAUAUUGGACAAUGGACGCAAGUCUGAUCCAGCCAUGCCGCGUGAAGGAUUAAGGCCCUCUGGGUUGUAAACUUCUUUUAUAGGGGACGAAAAAAGGGCUUUCUAGCUCGACUGACGGUACCCUAUGAAUAAGCACCGGCUAACUCCGUGCCAGCAGCCGCGGUAAUACGGAGGGUGCAAGCGUUAUCCGGAUUCACUGGGUUUAAAGGGUGCGUAGGCGGGCAUUUAAGUCAGUGGUGAAAUCUUCGAGCUCAACUCGGAAACUGCCAUUGAUACUAUUUGUCUUGAAUAUUGUGGAGGUGAGCGGAAUAUGUCAUGUAGCGGUGAAAUGCUUAGAUAUGACAUAGAACACCGAUUGCGAAGGCAGCUCGCUACACAAAUAUUGACGCUGAGGCACGAAAGCGUGGGGAUCAAACAGGAUUAGAUACCCUGGUAGUCCACGCCCUAAACUAUGGAUACUCGACAUUUGCGAUACACAGUAAGUGUCUGAGCGAAAGCAUUAAGUAUCCCACCUGGGAAGUACGACCGCAAGGUUGAAACUCAAAUGAAAUUGACGGCUGAGACGAGCGAGGACGACGACGAGGGGAGGAGG
This 614-nucleotide ribosomal RNA is filed under the name uncultured bacterium. RNAcentral's name for it is "bacterial SSU rRNA". It matches the Rfam family "Bacterial small subunit ribosomal RNA", at positions 338 to 950 of the family's 1533-position model. The record is from RNAcentral.